AGUGAACGCUGGCGGUAGGCCUAACACAUGCAAGUCGAACGGCAGCACAGUAAGAGCUCGCUCUUACGGGUGGCGAGUGGCGGACGGGUGAGGAAUACAUCGGAAUCUACUUUUUCGUGGGGGAUAACGUAGGGAAACUUACGCUAAUACCGCAUACGACCUACGGGUGAAAGCAGGGGAUCUUCGGACCUUGCGCGAUUGAAUGAGCCGAUGUCGGAUUAGCUAGUUGGCGGGGUAAAGGCCCACCAAGGCGACGAUCCGUAGCUGGUCUGAGAGGAUGAUCAGCCACACUGGAACUGAGACACGGUCCAGACUCCUACGGGAGGCAGCAGUGGGGUAUAUUGGACAAUGGGCGCAAGCCUGAUCCAGCCAUACCGCGUGGGUGAAGAAGGCCUUCGGGUUGUAAAGCCCUUUUGUUGGGAAAGAAAAGCAGCAGGUUAAUACCCCGCUGUUCUGACGGUACCCAAAGAAUAAGCACCGGCUAACUUCGUG
This 492-nucleotide ribosomal RNA is filed under the name uncultured bacterium. RNAcentral's name for it is "partial 16S ribosomal RNA". It matches the Rfam family "Bacterial small subunit ribosomal RNA", at positions 29 to 507 of the family's 1533-position model. The record is from RNAcentral.